AUUGAACGCUGGCGGAAUGCUUUACACAUGCAAGUCGAACGGCAGCACGGGGGCAGCCCUGGUGGCGAGUGGCGAACGGGUGAGUAAUACAUCGGAACGUGCCCGGUCGUGGGGGAUAACGUAGCGAAAGUUACGCUAAUACCGCAUACGAUCUGAGGAUGAAAGCGGGGGACCUUCGGGCCUCGCGCUAUCGGAGCGGCCGAUGUCAGAUUAGGUAGUUGGUGGGGUAAAGGCCUACCAAGCCGACGAUCUGUAGCUGGUCUGAGAGGACGACCAGCCACACUGGGACUGAGACACGGCCCAGACUCCUACGGGAGGCAGCAGUGGGGAAUUUUGGACAAUGGGCGCAAGCCUGAUCCAGCCAUUCCGCGUGCAGGACGAAGGCCUUCGGGUUGUAAACUGCUUUUGUACGGAACGAAAAGGAUCUGGCUAAUACCUGGGGGUCAUGACGGUACCGUAAGAAUAAGCACCGGCUAACUACGUG
RNAcentral lists this ribosomal RNA (484 nucleotides) under uncultured bacterium. RNAcentral's name for it is "partial 16S ribosomal RNA". It matches the Rfam family "Bacterial small subunit ribosomal RNA", at positions 30 to 507 of the family's 1533-position model. The record is from RNAcentral.